RNAcentral lists this ribosomal RNA (493 nucleotides) under uncultured bacterium. Its description in RNAcentral is "partial 16S ribosomal RNA". It matches the Rfam family "Bacterial small subunit ribosomal RNA", at positions 29 to 523 of the family's 1533-position model. The record is from RNAcentral.
AUUGAACGCUGGCGGCAUGCUUUACACAUGCAAGUCGAACGGUAACAGGUUAAGCUGACGAGUGGCGAACGGGUGAGUAAUGCAUCGGAACGUGCCCGAUCGUGGGGGAUAACGCAGCGAAAGCUGCGCUAAUACCGCAUACGAUCCGAGGAUGAAAGCGGGGGACCGUAAGGCCUCGCGCGAUCGGAGCGGCCGAUGUCAGAUUAGGUAGUUGGUGGGGUAAAGGCUCACCAAGCCGACGAUCUGUAGCUGGUCUGAGAGGACGACCAGCCACACUGGGACUAGGGCACGGCCCAGACUCCGACGGGGGGCGGCAGUGGGGAAUUUUGGAAAAUGGGUGAAGGCCUGAUCCAGCAAUGACGCGUGCAGGAAGAAGGACGUCGGGUUGUAAACUGCUUUUGUACGGAGCGAAAAGGCUCUCUCUAAUACAGGGGGCUCAUGACGGUACCGUAAGAAUAAGCACCGGCUAACUACGUGCCAGCAGCCGCCGUAA